ACGGGAGGCAGCAGUAGGGAAUAUUGCACAAUGGGGGAAACCCUGAUGCGGCAACGCCGCGUGAGUGAAGAAGUAUUUCGGUAUGUAAAGCUCUAUCAGCAGGGAAGAUAAUGACGGUACCUGACUAAGAAGCACCGGCUAAAUACGUGCCAGCAGCCGCGGUAAUACGUAUGGUGCAAGCGUUAUCCGGAUUUACUGGGUGUAAAGGGUGCGUAGGCGGCAUGGCAAGUCAGAUGUGAAAGACCGGGGCUCAACUCCGGGGCUGCAUUUGAAACUGCCAGGCUGGAGUACAGGAGAGGCAGGCGGAAUUCCUGGUGUAGCGGUGAAAUGCGUAGAUAUCCGGAGGAACACCAGUGGCGAAGGCGGCCUACUGGGCUUUAACUGACGCUGAGGCUCGAAAGUGUGGGGAGCAAACAGGAUUAGAUACCCUGGUA
RNAcentral lists this ribosomal RNA (434 nucleotides) under uncultured Lachnospiraceae bacterium. RNAcentral describes it as "partial 16S ribosomal RNA". It matches the Rfam family "Bacterial small subunit ribosomal RNA", at positions 341 to 792 of the family's 1533-position model. The record is from RNAcentral. Lineage: Bacteria; Bacillati; Bacillota; Clostridia; Lachnospirales; Lachnospiraceae.